GAGAGACUCACUUAGUGCUGGCCGGGGGGAUGCUGCUCACGAAGUUGUGUAUGGAGUGGUAAGAAAGGCCCACGAGGGUGGUCCAGGCUGGGGACAGAGCAGAGCCGGGACAUCGUCACACAUGGAAGGAGCAGAGGGAGCCAGGCAGCCCUCAGUGAGACUGCCUUGGUGAACAAGGACUGAAAGCAACACAUGCCCAGCGAGGCCAGCACUGCGGGAGCUGGGGCUGAGGCCCAGGCAAGCGCUCCGCCAGGAGACCCUGCUCCUCAUGUCCAGCCAGCUGGGAGAUACGAAGACCCCACAGCUACAGCUCUGCAGGCUUGCGGACCUGAGAAGACCCUGAAAAAUGACACAGCUUACAAAGCAGGUGCACCCUGGCCUGGAGGUGACCACGGGCAGCCACACUGCCUCCAAGGUUGCCCUCUGGGCAGCUGAGAUUCUGGCCGUGGCCGCUGUGUAAACCAUGGCUGUGGCUGCUCCCAUGGAAGACACAGAGCAGGAGGCCAUACGUCAGCCUCCCGUGACACCUGCUACCCUGGUAACGCCAGCAACCCCUGACUCUGAGACCACUUCUCUGCUAUGCAUGCAGACACUGAGGGACAGGUGCCUGCAUCUCUGAGAACCAUGCAUGUGGCCCUGUGUCCGGCUCCCUGUCCAGCUCCUGCUCCCACGGGUGACGCUGGAGCCAACAGUGGGCCCAGCACCCCUGGCCCCCUUCACCACCACCCACCACCGACCACGGCCACCUGCCACAGGAGAGGAGCCCUCGAGGGUGAUCUCGGGCCUGCGGCCAUGCAGCUUCAGAGACACAUGGCCCAGGACAACGUCGAUGGUGUUGAUGAGGCCAGACACCAAGGCCUUGUCCUAGAAAGAGAAGCAGCAUGAGGCCUCUUUGCCAUGCGCUGGCCCAAGGCCAGGAGGGCCCAGUGGACGCUGCCACUGCAUGGCCAGGACCCCAGUCACGUGUCUCUGUCAUCCGUGGGGCGCAAGUCACCCUCAGACUCACAGGACGAGGAUCCACCUCUGCCCCCAGGCUGCCUGCCCCUCCCCGGCCCCUGAAAGACACUGUCUACAGACACCAGGGCCAAGCCGGCCUUCUCCUGGGGCUCUGACCUGGCUUCCACCACCAAGGGGAACUCAGCACGGGCUGCUUGCCGACGUGUGCUGGGGGUGGGCAGCUGUACACGCACUCUGUGACCCACACCGGAGCCUGCCGGCUCCAAGGCUUUGGCACUGCUUACGUGAGGCCAGGUUUGAAUAUUUUGCAUUCAAAACCAGAAGCCCAUCUGCCCAAGUGCCCCGCAGGCCGCCUCGGGGACUUGGGGGACAAACUCCCUCCAAAUCCCAAGCUCCUUCUUAAAGGAGCAUGGUUUCUAGGUACAACUGCGUCACAAUUACACUCCGGACAUGUUCCUCUCGCUUAACCCUAACCACACCCCGUGGGAAGCUCUUCCAUUGCAAAGGUUGUCAGCAGGAAACUGCCACACAAGCGUGUUACUGAAGCAGGUGGAGAGGAGAUGCCCGCACCCCACUCUCCUGCUCCGCCUCUGUUUGCACCUUGGGAGCCACAGAGGGCAGCGGCAGAGAGACAGAGCCAGGGUUCCGGGGUGCAGAGCUGCAGGACGUGGAGUCUGCCGUGACCACAGCUCAGCCCCACUCUCCUAACCAACAGGGCACUGCAGUCCAGUGCUCCACGUCCCAGUGGCCUUGACGGGACUGGGGGCCCGGGUCAGCCAGGCCUGCGACAUGUUUGCAGAACCCGUCUGCGUCCGUGUGGACUGAACCCCAGGCCCCAGGGGCUGCGUGGUGGCUGGGAGCCAUCUGUGCCCGGCAUCCCGAUUUCUGGUGACUUUAUUCUCCUUAUGUCUUUAUUCCCAGCUUUUCCACAGCCAUUUGUUGACUGGUGUUACUGUGAAAUCAGCAUUUCAGAAUGAAGUCCUUAAUUCCCUCGAA
Molecule: long non-coding RNA, 1953 nt
Organism: Cavia porcellus (domestic guinea pig)
Lineage: Eukaryota; Metazoa; Chordata; Mammalia; Rodentia; Caviidae
Exons: 2
Source: RefSeq, a predicted model, not a curated record